GGGGAUGACUUGGUUUCGACUGGAGUAGUUGGGGUCAUGUGCAUGUCGGACUGAGCAACUCCGUUACACGGCUCAAACGCAAUAAAUGCAAACAAUACAGAUUACCGUCCAGCUUUCGCACGAGUAGCGUAAGUUUAACUAACCUUUUUGGACUGCCUCGCUAGUGAGUGUCAUCUUAACUAGAUUUUGGGGUAUCAUAUCUGAUGACUAUAUCUACGAGUUGCCUAGCUCUUAGACGAACCCUUAGGCUGGUUUAGUGUAGUUUUGGAUUGGUUGUACGAAACUAAGCGAGAACAAACAACAUCAUCUAAGCAUGUAGAGUCAUGGUUCUAGCUAUUUUAGGACAGGGGUUCGAUCCCCCUCAUCUCCACCA
RNAcentral lists this transfer-messenger RNA (373 nucleotides) under Sulfurovaceae. RNAcentral describes it as "FS08-3 sp020726085 Standard tmRNA". It matches the Rfam family "transfer-messenger RNA". From Rfam's summary of the family: Bacterial tmRNA, also known as 10Sa RNA or SsrA, is named for its dual tRNA and mRNA-like properties. Its role is to liberate the mRNA from a stalled ribosome. To accomplish this part of the tmRNA is used as a reading frame that ends in a translation stop signal. The record is from RNAcentral. Lineage: Bacteria; Pseudomonadati; Campylobacterota; Epsilonproteobacteria; Campylobacterales.